AGUGAACGCUGGCGGUAGGCCUAACACAUGCAAGUCGAACGGCAGCACAGUAAGAGCUUGCUCUUACGGGUGGCGAGUGGCGGACGGGUGAGGAAUACAUCGGAAUCUACUUUUUCGUGGGGGAUAACGUAGGGAAACUUACGCUAAUACCGCAUACGACCUACGGGUGAAAGCAGGGGAUCUUCGGACCUUGCGCGAUUGAAUGAGCCGAUGUCGGAUUAGCUAGUUGGCGGGGUAAAGGCCCACCAAGGCGACGAUCCGUAGCUGGUCUGAGAGGAUGAUCAGCCACACUGGAACUGAGACACGGUCCAGACUCCUACGGGAGGCAGCAGUGGGGAAUAUUGGACAAUGGGCGCAAGCCUGAUCCAGCCAUACCGAGUGGGUGAAGAAGGCCUUCGGGUUGUAAAGCCCUUUUGUUGGGAAAGAAAGGCAGCAGGUUAAUACCCCGCUGUUCUGACGGUACCCAAAGAAUAAGCACCGGCUAACUUCGUG
This 492-nucleotide ribosomal RNA is filed under the name uncultured bacterium. RNAcentral describes it as "partial 16S ribosomal RNA". It matches the Rfam family "Bacterial small subunit ribosomal RNA", at positions 29 to 507 of the family's 1533-position model. The record is from RNAcentral.